Molecule: ribosomal RNA, 429 nt
Filed under: Verrucomicrobiota bacterium
Lineage: Bacteria; Pseudomonadati; Verrucomicrobiota
Description: Verrucomicrobia bacterium partial 16S ribosomal RNA
Rfam family: Bacterial small subunit ribosomal RNA
Source: RNAcentral
UAGGGAAUCUUCCGCAAUGGACGAAAGUCUGACGGAGCAACGCCGCGUGAGUGAAGAAGGAUUUCGGUUCGUAAAACUCUGUUGUUAGGGAAGAAAAAAUGUAUAGUAACUAUAUACAAAAGGGACGGUACCUAACCAGAAAGCCACGGCUAACUACGUGCCAGCAGCCGCGGUAAUACGUAGGUGGCAAGCGUUGUCCGGAAUUAUUGGGCGUAAAGCGCGCGCAGGUGGUUUAGAAAGUCUGAUGUGAAAGCCCACGGCUCAACCGUGGAGGGUCAUUGGAAACUAAUAAACUUGAGUGCAGGAGAGAAAAGUGGAAUUCCUAGUGUAGCGGUGAAAUGCGUAGAGAUUAGGAGGAACACCGGUGGCGAAAGCGGCUUUUUGGCCUGCAACUGACACUGAGGCGCGAAAGCGUGGGGAGCAAACAGG